This 481-nucleotide ribosomal RNA is filed under the name uncultured Rhodocyclaceae bacterium. RNAcentral describes it as "bacterial SSU rRNA". It matches the Rfam family "Bacterial small subunit ribosomal RNA", at positions 903 to 1382 of the family's 1533-position model. Lineage: Bacteria; Pseudomonadati; Pseudomonadota; Betaproteobacteria; Rhodocyclales; Rhodocyclaceae. The record is from RNAcentral.
AAAGGAAUUGACGGGACCGCACGAAGCGGUGGAUGAUGUGGAUUAAUUCGAUGCAACGCGAAAACCUUACCUACCCUUGACAUGUCCGGAAUCCCGAAGAGAUUUGGGAGUGCUCGCAAGGAGAACCGGAACACAGGUGCUGCAUGGCUGUCGUCAGCUCGUGUCGUGAGAUGUUGGGUUAAGUCCCGCAACGAGCGCAACCCUUGUCAUUAGUUGCCAUCAUUUGGUUGGGCACUCUAAUGAGACUGCCGGUGACAAACCGGAGGAAGGUGGGGAUGACGUCAAGUCCUCAUGGCCCUUAUGGGUAGGGCUUCACACGUCAUACAAUGGUCGGUACAGAGGGUUGCCAACCCGCGAGGGGGAGCUAAUCCCACAAAGCCGAUCGUAGUCCGGAUCGCAGUCUGCAACUCGACUGCGUGAAGUCGGAAUCGCUAGUAAUCGCGGAUCAGCAUGCCGCGGUGAAUACCGGUUCCCGGGCCUU